AUGUGCAACAUCACAAUCAGUAGGGCAUUCUGUUGCCAGUAACCUGGAUACUGAGCCUGGUUUUGACCAACGGCAAAUUUUCGGAACUCCUGACAAUGCAGCAGGAAUCACAAGCCUUUUGAAUCAAAUCCUGUGAUUCAGGUCUUAAAACCUGAACUUGACUGCCUCCCCAUGGGAGUCACAAGUUCAGAACUACUGGCUUUUGUAAAAUUAGAUCAAUGAAAACCUUGAUACAAUCCUUGUCCACAUCUUCAAAACCAGAAGACCUCAUAUUCCAGUUUGCCCAGAAUAGUCCAGGUGUUCCAACAGCCCCAGCUGAGAUCUCAGAUAACAGCCAGUGUCAAUUGUUAAGCAGUCAGCAUUAUAAGAUAGUUAUCUCUCAUUUGGGAUGCUCACUCUUGGAACCCAGCCACCAUGUUGUGAGAAAGCUCAGGCCACAUGCAGAGGCCACAUAAAGUGAAGCCUGUGAAAAUUGAAUAAAGGAGGUGAAUCACAAUCUGGAGCUGACUUAAGAGAAUGAAUUCAAUGACAGCUACCUCAUAGGUUUGUUCUAAAAAAAAAUGUAAAAUUGUGUAAGUUAACACAGUGUCUGUAAAACCAUAAACACUCAAAAGAUUUUAGUGCUCUUUAAUUUCUUCUAACUUAAUCUUUGAUAAAAAGAUAUUCCCAUAAGUUAUUAUGUUU
This 684-nucleotide long non-coding RNA is filed under the name Homo sapiens (human). Its description in RNAcentral is "HSALNT0362458". Lineage: Eukaryota; Metazoa; Chordata; Mammalia; Primates; Hominidae. The record is from RNAcentral.